UAUUCGUGAGAUCUAUAUUGUUUUUCAUGUUAUCGAGUUCUAGAGAUUCAACGUAAACGUGUGGUAACUAUUAACGUUGGAGAUUUAAAGGAUGUGAUAGACUUGACUAAGAAAAUGUCGGAAAUAAAGAUUACUUGGAAUAUGGUCGUGUUUUUAUGUGUAUAUAAAAUCAGUCAUCGAUAAUAUGGAAUACACCGAUAAAAAAGCAGAUAAAAUUGCAGGUGGUACUAGGAUUAAAUUAAUAUUAUUAGGAUUAAAUUAAAUAUCAUUACAAUAAGUUGGCAAAUGUUGUAUAGUCAAUAUACUGCAGUCUUUAAAUAAAUUUAUCAAUGGGCAGAAUAGACCUAUUAUUAUUAUCUAAUAAGCCAUGUUUUUGAUAAACAGGUGAAUAUAUAUUUAUUAUUAAAAACAAAAUCUUUUUCGAAUUCCUUAAAAUAAUU
This is a long non-coding RNA of Vespa velutina, 440 nucleotides long. RefSeq lists it as uncharacterized. The transcript is spliced from 3 exons. The record is from RefSeq and is a predicted model, not a curated record. NCBI's taxonomy places the organism in Eukaryota, Metazoa, Arthropoda, Insecta, Hymenoptera, Vespidae.